GUCUCUCGCUGCAGCCAGAGCUUGGGAUCGCUUUCUGCUAUUCAACGUCCUCCACCUCUGCCCCCCUCUCGCCCCAGCCGGUGACAGGCUGUUGCCCUGUGAUCUGCAGGUCCUGGGACGUGCACAGACAGCUAAGAUGCCAGGACAUUCCAGAAGGUGGGAAAGGCACCUGAGUAAUUUGACUCUCCUGCCUGGACCCAGCGUACAGAUGGGAUUGUGCUUCAUUGCUGGACCCAGCAUUUAGGCCCACUACCUAUGAGAUUGCAUGCUCCUGCCUGGGCUGUGCCCACAGUGACCUUGUGACAUAUAUCUGCAUCCAUGACCUAAAAGAUGUGACACUUCUUGCCUGCAACCUGCCCUGCACAGGAAAGAUUGCGACUUCUCCCUGGAAGCAGACACCAGGGAUCGUCACUCCCGUGGAUGAUCAAAGGCGCCUGUAAUUUCAGCUACUCCGGGGGCUGAGGCAGGAGAAUCGCUUGAACUCGGGAAGCAGAAGUUGCAGUGAGCCAAGGUCGCACCACUGCACUCCAGCCCAGGCGACAUUGUGAGACUCCAUCUCAAAAAAAAAAAAAAGAAAAAAAGUGUACUAACAAGACCCAGCACACAGAGGAGACUUUUACCAUUGUAUGAACACCCAUCAAACAGUACACAUCAUCAUUGUGAGUUCUGAAUCUCACACAUAGAGGAAGUCAAAGGUGGAAAACUUGACUCUCAUAUUUGGAUCCAGUCCACAGGUGUGAUUUUGACGCACACUUCUGCCCAGCACCUGAGUAAUGUGAUUCUUCAGAAUUGGCCCGG
This is a long non-coding RNA of Homo sapiens (human), 798 nucleotides long. Ensembl annotates it as long intergenic non-protein coding RNA 1224. NCBI's taxonomy places the organism in Eukaryota, Metazoa, Chordata, Mammalia, Primates, Hominidae. The record is from Ensembl.